CGUGUAGGCGGUUUAGCAAGCCUGGUGUGAAAUACUCCAGCUCAACUGGAGGAACGCGCUGGGAACUGUUAGACUAGAGUAAUGGAGGGGGAGUUGGAAUUCCAGGUGUAGGGGUGAAAUCUGUAGAUAUCUGGAAGAACACCGGUGGCGAAGGCGAACUCCUGGCCAAAAACUGACGCUAAUGCGCGAAAGUGUGGGGAGCGAACAGGAUUAGAUACCCUGGUAGUCC
RNAcentral lists this ribosomal RNA (229 nucleotides) under uncultured bacterium. RNAcentral describes it as "partial 16S ribosomal RNA". It matches the Rfam family "Bacterial small subunit ribosomal RNA", at positions 568 to 796 of the family's 1533-position model. The record is from RNAcentral.